CAACCCUCAAGCUUUGCUUGGUCUUGGGCUCUGCCGGCAACGGCUUGCCUUAAAAUCAGUGGCGGUGCCAUCGAGCUCUACGCGUAGUAAUUAAACCCUCGCGACAGAGUCUCGGUGGACGCUGGCCAGCAACCCCCAAUUUUCUAUGG
RNAcentral lists this unclassified non-coding RNA (149 nucleotides) under uncultured Phialea. RNAcentral's name for it is "sequence contains ITS2". The record is from RNAcentral. Lineage: Eukaryota; Fungi; Ascomycota; Pezizomycetes; Pezizales.